Long non-coding RNA from Parus major (Great Tit), 529 nucleotides. RefSeq lists it as uncharacterized. The transcript has 4 exons. The record is from RefSeq and is a predicted model, not a curated record. NCBI's taxonomy places the organism in Eukaryota, Metazoa, Chordata, Aves, Passeriformes, Paridae.
CUCCGGGAUUGGUUCUCGCUGGUGCAGCAGCGGAAUUUGUUGGUGCGGCGACAGGACCAGCUGCAGCUGCUGGCGCAGGAGCGGGACCUGGAGCGGCGCUUCGAGCUCCUGAGCCGGGAACUGCGGGGGCUGCUGGGGACAGAGGAGUGGCAGAAGCCCCCGGCCCAGCGCCAGCGCGAGCAGCUCUUACUGGAGGAACUGGUGGAACUGGUGAACCGGCGGGACCGGCUGGUGCGGGACCGGCACCGCCGCGAGACCAGGGCGCAGGAGGAGGAUGAGGAGCUGGAGCGGAGCCUCGACCCCCGGCGCCGCCGCUUCGGCCGCAGGGAAACGUGCGGGAUCUGCUGAGGGACCCCCGGAACCCCCCCCGGGACCCCCAAAACCCCGGGAUAUCUCCCGGGACCCCCAAAACCCCGGGACACCCCCCAGGACCCUCAAAAUCCCCCAGGACCCCCGCGGGAGCCCACCGGUACCGCCCCCCGAUCCCAGCGGACGCGGCAAUAAAGGAGAUUUUCUGUGUGAAAUACGA